RNAcentral lists this ribosomal RNA (466 nucleotides) under uncultured bacterium. Its description in RNAcentral is "partial 16S ribosomal RNA". It matches the Rfam family "Bacterial small subunit ribosomal RNA", at positions 28 to 507 of the family's 1533-position model. The record is from RNAcentral.
GAUGAACGCUGGCGGCGUGCUUAACACAUGCAAGUCGAACGAUGAAGCCCAGCUUGCUGGGUGGAUUAGUGGCGAACGGGUGAGUAACACGUGAGUAACCUGCCCUUAACUCUGGGAUAAGCCUGGGAAACUGGGUCUAAUACCGGAUAGGAGCGUCCACCGCAUGGUGGGUGUUGGAAAGAUUUAUCGGUUGUGGAUGGACUCGCGGCCUAUCAGCUUGUUGGUGAGGUAAUGGCUCACCAAGGCGACGACGGGUAGCCGGCCUGAGAGGGUGACCGGCCACACUGGGACUGAGACACGGCCCAGACUCCUACGGGAGGCAGCAGUGGGGAAUAUUGCACAAUGGGCGCAAGCCUGAUGCAGCGACGCCGCGUGAGGGAUGACGGCCUUCGGGUUGUAAACCUCUUUCAGUAGGGAAGAAGCGAAAGUGACGGUACCUGCAGAAGAAGCACCGGCUAACUACGUG